This 429-nucleotide ribosomal RNA is filed under the name Chloroflexota bacterium. Its description in RNAcentral is "Chloroflexi bacterium partial 16S ribosomal RNA". It matches the Rfam family "Bacterial small subunit ribosomal RNA", at positions 355 to 776 of the family's 1533-position model. Lineage: Bacteria; Bacillati; Chloroflexota. The record is from RNAcentral.
UGGGGAAUAUUGCACAAUGGGCGCAAGCCUGAUGCAGCCAUGCCGCGUGUAUGAAGAAGGCCUUCGGGUUGUAAAGUACUUUCAGUCGGGAGGAAGGUGGUAAGGUUAAUAACCUUAUCAAUUGACGUUACCGACAGAAGAAGCACCGGCUAACUCCGUGCCAGCAGCCGCGGUAAUACGGAGGGUGCAAGCGUUAAUCGGAAUUACUGGGCGUAAAGCGCACGCAGGCGGUUGAUUGAGUCAGAUGUGAAAUCCCCUGGCUUAACCCGGGAAUUGCAUCUGAUACUGGUCAGCUAGAGUCUUGUAGAGGGGGGUAGAAUUCCAUGUGUAGCGGUGAAAUGCGUAGAGAUGUGGAGGAAUACCGGUGGCGAAGGCGGCCCCCUGGACAAAGACUGACGCUCAGGUGCGAAAGCGUGGGGAGCAAACAGG